CAUAAUCAUUUGUCCACUAAUUAUGGACUAGCAUGAAAGGCAAAAUGAGGGUUUAACUGUCUCUUAUAGUAAGUCAAUUAAACUGAUCUACCAGUAAAAAAGCUGGAAUAAACACACAAGACCAGAAGACCCUGUGAAGCUUAAACUAAACUAUUAAACCACAUAAUAACUACUUUCGGUUGGGGCGACCUUGGAAAAUAAAAGAACUUCCAAACUAGUGACAAUCAAUCACCCCCAGGCCAACAAGCCACAUAUGACCCAGCACACCUGAUAAUUGAACCAAGUUACUCCAGGGAUAACAGCGCCAUCUUCUUCAAGAGUCCAUAUCAAAAAGAAGGUUUACGACCUCGAUGU
Molecule: ribosomal RNA, 354 nt
Filed under: Erythrolamprus sp.
Lineage: Eukaryota; Metazoa; Chordata; Lepidosauria; Squamata; Dipsadidae
Description: partial large subunit ribosomal RNA
Rfam family: Bacterial large subunit ribosomal RNA
Source: RNAcentral